This 327-nucleotide ribosomal RNA is filed under the name uncultured eukaryote. RNAcentral describes it as "partial 18S ribosomal RNA". It matches the Rfam family "Eukaryotic small subunit ribosomal RNA", at positions 1470 to 1796 of the family's 1831-position model. The record is from RNAcentral.
CCCUUAGAUGUUCUGGGCCGCACGCGCGCUACACUGACGAAUGCAACGAGCUUAUAACCUUGGCCGAAAGGUCUGGGUAAUCUCCAAAUUUCGUCGUGAUGGGGACAGAUUAUUGCAAUUAUUAAUCUUCAACGAGGAAUGCCUAGUAAGCGCAAGUCAUCAGCUUGCGUUGAUUACGUCCCUGCCCUUUGUACACACCGCCCGUCGCUCCUACCGAUUGAAUGGUCCGGUGAAGCGUUCGGACCGUGGCCUUUGGACGGUUCGCCGUCUGUUGGCUGCGGGAAGUUCGUUAAACCUUAUCAUUUAGAGGAAGGUGAAGUCGUANCA